UACGUAGGGGGCGAGCGUUGUCCGGAGUUACUGGGCGUAAAGGGCGCGCAGGCGGUCUGCUAAGUUCAGAGGGACAGUCACCAGCUUAACUGGUGAAGGACUUUGAAAACUGGCGGACUUGAGAGCGAAAGAGGAACAUGGAAUUCCGGGUGGAGCAGUGAAAUGCGUAGAGAUCCGGAGGAACACCAAGGCGAAGGCAGUGUCCUGGGUCGCAUCUGACGCUGAGGCGCGAAAGCCAGGGGAGC
Molecule: ribosomal RNA, 245 nt
Filed under: uncultured bacterium
Lineage: Bacteria
Description: partial 16S ribosomal RNA
Rfam family: Bacterial small subunit ribosomal RNA
Source: RNAcentral